Molecule: ribosomal RNA, 426 nt
Filed under: uncultured bacterium
Lineage: Bacteria
Description: bacterial SSU rRNA
Rfam family: Bacterial small subunit ribosomal RNA
Source: RNAcentral
UGGGGAAUAUUGCGCAAUGGGCGGAAGCCUGACGCAGCGACGCCGCGUGGGGGAUGACGGCCUUCGGGUUGUAAACCUCUUUCGACCUCGACGAAGAGUGAUUGACGGUAGGGGUGGAAGAAGCACCGUCCAACUACGUGCCAGCAGCCGCGGUAACACGUAGGGUGCGAGCGUUGUCCGGAAUUAUUGGGCGUAAAGAGCUCGUAGGCGGUGUGUCGCGUCGGCCGUGAAAACCUGCAGCUUAACUGUGGGCGUGCGGUCGAUACGGGCAUCACUGGAGUUCGGCAGGGGAGACUGGAAUUCCUGGUGUAGCGGUGAAAUGCGCAGAUAUCAGGAGGAACACCGGUGGCGAAGGCGGGUCUCUGGGCCGAUACUGACGCUGAGGAGCGAAAGCGUGGGGAGCGAACAGGAUUAGAUACCCUGGUA